GAAGGGUGCAAGCGUUACUCGGAAUUACUGGGCGUAAAGCGUGCGUAGGUGGUUCGUUAAGUCUGAUGUGAAAGCCCUGGGCUCAACCUGGGAAUGGCAUUGGAAACUGGCGACCUAGAGUGCGGUAGAGGGUAGUGGAAUUCCCGGUGUAGCAGUGAAAUGCGUAGAGAUCGGGAGGAACAUCCGUGGCGAAGGCGACUACCUGGACCAGCACUGACACUGAGGCACGAAAGCGUGGGGAGCAAACAGGAUUAGAUACCCUGGUAGUCCACGCCCUAAACGAUGCAAACUGGAUGUUGGGUGCAACUAGGCACUCAGUAUCGAAGCUAACGCGUUAAGUUCGCCGCCUGGGGAGUACGGUCGCAAGACUG
Molecule: ribosomal RNA, 371 nt
Filed under: uncultured bacterium
Lineage: Bacteria
Description: bacterial SSU rRNA
Rfam family: Bacterial small subunit ribosomal RNA
Source: RNAcentral